This 496-nucleotide ribosomal RNA is filed under the name uncultured bacterium. RNAcentral's name for it is "bacterial SSU rRNA". It matches the Rfam family "Bacterial small subunit ribosomal RNA", at positions 28 to 520 of the family's 1533-position model. The record is from RNAcentral.
GAUGAACGCUGGCGGCGUGCUUAACACAUGCAAGUCGAACGAAGCACUUUAUUUGAUUUCCUUCGGGACUGAUUAUUUUGUGACUGAGUGGCGGACGGGUGAGUAACGCGUGGGUAACCUGCCUUGUACAGGGGGAUAACAGUUGGAAACGGCUGCUAAUACCGCAUAAGCGCACGGCAUCGCAUGAUGCAGUGUGAAAAACUCCGGUGGUAUAAGAUGGACCCGCGUUGGAUUAGCUAGUUGGUGAGGUAACGGCCCACCAAGGCGACGAUCGGUAGCCGGACUGAGAGGGUGACCGGCCACAUUGGGACUGAGACACGGCCCAGACUCCUACGGGAGGCAGCAGUGGGGAAUAUUGCACAAUGGGGGAAACCCUGAUGCAGCGACGCCGCGUGAGCGAAGAAGUAUUUCGGUAUGUAAAGCUCUAUCAGCAGGGAAGAUAAUGAACGGUACCUGACCAAGAAGCCCCCGGCUAACUACGUGCCAGCAGCCGCGG